This 440-nucleotide ribosomal RNA is filed under the name uncultured bacterium. RNAcentral's name for it is "partial 16S ribosomal RNA". It matches the Rfam family "Bacterial small subunit ribosomal RNA", at positions 338 to 795 of the family's 1533-position model. The record is from RNAcentral.
CCUACGGGAGGCAGCAGUGGGGCAUAUUGCACAAUGGGGGAAACCCUGAUGCAGCGACGCCGCGUGAGUGAAGAAGUAAUUCGUUAUGUAAAGCUCUAUCAGCAGGGAAGAAAAUGACGGUACCUGAGUAAGAAGCCCCGGCUAACUACGUGCCAGCAGCCGCGGUAAUACGUAGGGGGCAAGCGUUAUCCGGAUUUACUGGGUGGAAAGGGAGCGUAGACGGCAGUGCAAGGCUGGAGUGAAAGGCGGGGGCUCAAACCCCGGACUGCUCUGGAAACUGUACGGCUGGAGUGCAGGAGAGGUAAGUGGAAUUCCUAGUGGAGCGGUGAAAUGCGUAGAUAUUAGGAGGAACACCAGUGGCGAAGGCGGCUUACUGGACUGUAACUGACGCUGAGGCUCGAAAGCGUGGGGAGCAAACAGGAUUAGAUACCCCAGUAGUC